This is a small nucleolar RNA of Heterocephalus glaber (naked mole-rat), 72 nucleotides long. Ensembl annotates it as small nucleolar RNA, C/D box 49B. The record is from Ensembl. Lineage: Eukaryota; Metazoa; Chordata; Mammalia; Rodentia; Bathyergidae.
UGCUCUGAUGAUAUUACUAAUAGGAAGUGCCAUCAGAAGUGAUAUUAGAACUAGUUAUUACCAUGUCCCAGU